UAUUUUAAAGUAAAUUACUUCUUUAAUAUCUUCAAUAUUAUGCUCUAAAUAUAAGCUAUUAAAAU
Molecule: transfer RNA, 65 nt
Filed under: Macrolycus sp. UPOL ZL2005
Lineage: Eukaryota; Metazoa; Arthropoda; Insecta; Coleoptera; Lycidae
Description: tRNA-Phe
Source: RNAcentral